RNAcentral lists this ribosomal RNA (451 nucleotides) under uncultured bacterium. RNAcentral's name for it is "partial 16S ribosomal RNA". It matches the Rfam family "Bacterial small subunit ribosomal RNA", at positions 354 to 796 of the family's 1533-position model. The record is from RNAcentral.
GUGGGGAAUUUUGGACAAUGGGCGCAAGCCUGAUCCAGCAAUGCCGCGUGCAGGAAGAAGGCCUUCGGGUUGUAAACUGCUUUUGUACGGAACGAAACGGUCCUGGUUAAUACCCGGGGCUAAUGACGGUACCGUAAGAAUAAGCACCGGCUAACUACGUGCCAGCAGCCGCGGUAAUACGUAGGGUGCAAGCGUUAAUCGGAAUUACUGGGCGUAAAGCGUGCGCAGGCGGUGCUGUAAGACAGGCGUGAAAUCCCCGGGCUUAACCUGGGAAUUGCGCUUGUGACUGCAGUGCUGGAGUGCGGCAGAGGGGGAUGGAAUUCCGCGUGUAGCAGUGAAAUGCGUAGAUAUGCGGAGGAACACCGAUGGCGAAGGCAAUCCCCCUGGGCCUGCACUGACGCUCAUGCACGAAAGCGUGGGGAGCAAACAGGAUUAGAAACCCGUGUAGUCC